Molecule: long non-coding RNA, 5166 nt
Filed under: Gossypium barbadense (sea-island cotton)
Lineage: Eukaryota; Viridiplantae; Streptophyta; Magnoliopsida; Malvales; Malvaceae
Description: long non-coding RNA (GBAR_LNC016039)
Source: RNAcentral
AAAAACGUCCUAAGGGUUUCUUCAAGCUGGUUUUUCAUAAUUUUUUCACCAAGUGAGUUAAUCCUUGCCAUUUUCUUAUAAUUUUUGUGUUUCUAAGACUUUUACAACUAGGUCCUAUUACUAAAUUCAUUAGUUUUUGAUUUCAUGGAUGAAAUUGAAAGUCACUAUGGUUGAAUGCUGUAAGUUCAUGAUGAAAUAGCAUGAAAGUGAAGCUUUAAUUUGUUUAUGAAAUGAUUUUAUUAGGUAAUUUCAAUAGAAAUUGAUUUAUAGGACCUAAUUGGGAAAAGGUUUGGAAUAAAAGUCUAGUGCUAAAAUUAUGAUUUCCAAAGGUUAUAAAGUAGUUUAAAGUGAUGAGAUAAAGUGUUAAUUGAGAAAAAUCAGCUCAAUUGAGAGGUUAAUUGAGCAGGGAUGAAAUUAUCAUUUAUUGAAAGUUUAGGGAAAAAUGGUAAUUAACCUCAUGCACUAAAACAGUUUGGACAGCAGCAGUAGGUUAACUUUGAAAAAUCACCAAAAAUUGUAGAUAUUGAAUUAGAGGAUGAAUAAAAUAUGAAAUUAAAGCUUAUUGAGUCUAGUUUCUUAUAAAAGAAAUGGUGUAAGCAAUGGAAUUGUAAAUCAUGAGAUAUAAUAGGUUUUGUGAGACAAGGUCAGAAUGAAUUCGGGUUCCCCUGUUCUGACUUUGGAAAAUCAUUAAAAAUUGUAAAAAAAUUAUUAUGAGUUAUAAUUUAUAUGGUUAUAAUCCUUAAUGAGUCUAUUUUUAGAAGAAACAAACAGAAACAUCAACUGAAUUCUGUACAAUGAGAUAAUUAUUUUUUAGUGAAGAGGGGUUGGAACUAUCAAAUAAUGAAACAGAGAAAACUUUAAAGAAUAAACUGUACUUUUUGGCUAAACCAAAAAUUCUGAAAAUUUUAUGGUAAGAAGAUAUGUGAGUCUAGUUUCAGGGAAAAUUAACAGAUAUUAAUUUGAAGUUUUUUAGCUCAAGAUAUAAAUAAUUUAGUGACUGUGACUCAGUAAGACAGCUUUGAAUGCACUAUAAAUAAUAAUGGAAUUAUAGAGAAUCUUACACAUGAAAUGUAUUAGAUUAAUGAUUAAAUUUAUUUAUUUAGAUCCAGAAAGUUCAAAUACGAAGCUAGAUCGAGGAAAAGAAAAAGUUCUGGAUUAGUAGAUUUUUUUUGUUUACGAACAAGUAUCGAGGUAAGUUCGUGUAACUUGAAUUCUAUUCUUAAAUGCUUGAAAUGUUUGUUAUUGUUGUGAAUAUGAGUUGUAUGUUUAUUGUAUGAGAUGAAGUAUUGAUAUACUUGAUGAAAAGAGGAAAUAAAUCCCGGUUGAAUGAAAGGAAAAUUCGAUGGAUCUCUGAAAAGGAAUUGACGGUAAAAAGGAUCUAGCCCGGACGGGUGAUCCUAUCCUGAUAUAGCUCUCCCGAAGAAUAUGUGGAAAAUGGAUUUAGCCCGGACGGGUAAUCCAAAUUAGGGUCUGAAUUUAGCCUGGACUGGUAAUUCAGAUCCAAGCUCAUUAGUGUAAUUGUCAUUGCAGGGGAUUUAGCCUGUACUGGUAAUCCCGCUGUAAGGAUGAGGUUCGCGGGAGUGUGCUCUCUGAAAUGGAAAUGUGCGCACAUGAAUAUGAAUUGACGGACCCGAAAUUGUACACUAAAGUGUACCUCUGAAAAACCAUCGAAAUUUCAAGUAGUUCAACGGGGGUAAAUAUGGAAAAAUAACAAGGAAAUGGAAAUCAUGGUAUUGAUGGGCUCAUCAAUCAUGGUAUAUGUAACACCCCCUACCCGUAUCCGUCGCCGGAACAGGAUACGAGGUAUUACCAGAUUUUACUGAAUAAAAUUUUUUUAACUCAAUAUAACCCGUUUAUAAAUAUCUACUCUUUCCUAAAAUUUUAAAACCGAGACUAAUCCAACACAACCAAUCCAUUUCAAAAUAUUUUCAAGAUAGAUUUACCGUAUUCAUAAGAUAAUCUUAUCACAUACCAAAACCAAAAUUUGUUAGCCAUAUUAAUGGCUAACCAUACAUUCAUUCCACAUUAACAUCUACUUUACUAGCUUAUACAUGCCAUUGAUUUCCAAAAUAAAGUUUCUUUAUGUACCGAGAUCUUGAGGUUGAUAGUGUGAUGUGUCUCUGACCAAAUCCGACCUCCGAGCUCUUAACUUUACAAACAGGGGAAAAAGAAACAGGGUAAGCACUUUGUGCUUAGUAAGCUCAUGUAACAGGAAUUAUAUUUACCUAAAUUUUUUUAUACAAUGCAAUAAACAUUCAUACAUCCAUUCAAUACAUUAUUCCCCUAUCAUGCACAAACUCAACAUUCAAAUUGGUUCAAUAAUUUCCAUGUAUCAAUAAUUUAUACCAUGAUUGAUGAGCUCAUCAAUACCAUGAUUUCCAUUUCCUUAUUAUUUUUCCAUAUUUACCCCGUUGAACUACUUGGAAUUUCGAUGGAUUUUCAGAGGUACACUUUAGUGUACAAUUUCGGGUCCGUCAAUUCAUAUUCAUGUGCGCACAUUUCCAUUUCAGAGAGCACACUCCCGCGAACCUCAUCCUUACAGCGGGAUUACCAGUCCAGGCUAAAUCCCCUGUAAUAUAAACUCACAGAGUACUGUCGAGAUUACCAGUCCAGGCUAAAUCCCUUGCAAUGACAAUUACUCUAAUGAGCUUGGAUCUGAAUUACCAGUCCAGGCUAAAUUCAGACCCUAAUUUGGAUUACCCAUCCGGGCUAAAUCCAUUUUCCACAUAUUCUUCGGAAGGGCUAUAUCAGGAUAGGAUCACCCGUCCGGGCUAGAUCAUUUUUACCGUCAAUUCCUUUUCAGAGAUCCAUCGAAUUUUCCUUCCAUUCAACCGGGAUUUAUUUUCUCUUUUCAUCAAGAAUAUCAAUACUUCAUCAAUUAUCAUACAAUAAACAUCCAACUCAUUUUCACAUCAAUAACAAACAUUUUAAGCAUUUAAGAAUAUAAUUCAAGUUACACGAACUUACCUUGAUACUUGUUCGUAAACAAAAAAAUAUAUCUAAUCCCGAACUUUUUCUUUUCCUCGAUCUAGCUUCGUAUUUGAACUUUCUGGAUCUAAAUAAAUAAAUUUAAUCAUUAAUCUAAUACAUUUCAUGUUCAUGUGUAAGAUUCUCUAUAAUUCCAUUAUUAUUUAUAGUGCAUUCAAAGCUAUCUUACUGCGUCACAGUCACUAAAUUAUUUAUAUAUUGAGCUACAGAACUCAAAAUUAAGAUACCUUAAUUUUCCCUUAAACUAGACUUGCAUAUCUUCUUACCAUAAAAAUUUCAGAAUUUUUUGUGUAGCCAAAAAGUACAGUUUAUUCUUUAAAGUUUCCCCUGUUUCAUUGUUUGACAGUUCCAAUCCCUCUUCACUAAAAAUUAAUUAUCUCAUUGUACAGAAUUAGGAUGAUGUUUCCACUUGUUUCUUCUGAAAAUAGACUCAUUAAGGAUUCUAACCAUAUAAAUUAUAACUCAUAAUCAUUUUUUUACAAAUUUUAAUGAUUUUCCAAAGUCAGAACAGGGGAACCCAAAUUCAUUCUGGCCUUGUAUCACAAAAUCUAUUAUAUAUCAUGAUUUACAAUUCCAUUGAUUAAACCAUUUCUUCUACGAGAAACUAGACUCAAUAAUUUUUAAUUUCAUAUUUUAUUCAUCCUCUAAUUCGAUCUCUACAAUUUUUGGUGAUUUUUCAAAAGUGGACUACUACUGCUGUCCAAAACUGUUUUAAUGUAUGAUAUUAAUUACCAUUUUUCCCUAAACUUUCAAUAAAUGAUAAUUUCAUCCCUGCUCAAUUAACCUCUCAAUUGAGCUGAUUUUUCUCAAUUAACAUUUUAUCCCAUCACUUUAAACUACUUUAUAAUCUUUGGAAAUCAGAAUUUUAGCACUAGACUUUAAUUCCAAACCUUUUCACAAUUAGGUCCUAUAAAUCAAUUUCUAUUGAAAUUACCUAAUAAAAUCAUUUCAUAAACAAAUUAAAGCUUCACUUUCAUGCUAUUUCAUCAUGAACUUACAGCACUCAACCAUAGUGACUUUCAAUUUCAUCCAUGAAAUCAAAAACUAAUGAAUUUAGUAAUAGGACUUAGUUGUAAAAGUCUUAGAAACACAAAAAUUAUAAGAAAAAAGCAAGGAUUAACUCACUUGGUGCAAAAAUUAUGAAAAACCAGCUUGAAGAAACCCUUAGGACGUUUUUUUCUGAUGAGAGUGCGGAAAAUAUGAAGAGAAUUCUAGAUAUUCCACUUUAGUCCUAACUUUUAAAGUAAUUUUUGUAAUAUUCCAAAUUUACCCUUAAUUCUUCAAUUCUCCUGAUUUUUCUCAACGUAUGCCGCCCAAAAUAUCUUCUUUUGGGAUUAUUUGCAAUUUAUGUCCCUCCUCAUUUAACAAUUGAGCUAUUUAAUCAUUCUAGUAACUUUUACACCUUUUCAAUUUAGUCCUUUUUACGUAAUUGACUAUCCAAACAUUAAAAUUUUCUAACGAAAUUUUUAUACCAUAUCACUAAUAUUUCAUAAUUAUUUAUAAAAUUAUUUUUGACUCGGUUUUACAAGAUCAAGGUCUCAAUACCUUAUUUUUACCCAAUUUCUUCAAUAAUUUCUUUUUCUAACUAACCCCUAAAUCGGUAAAAUUUUUCUAUCAAUAUUUUCAUACGAUUUUCCUAUCAUAUAAAUAUUCAUGCAAAAAUAUUAAAAUAAAUUUCUCUUUAAAUCGGAUUUGUGGUUACGAAACCACUAUUCCGAUAGCCUUGAAUUUAGGCCAUUACAGUAUAAAUUAUUGAUACAUGGAAAUUAUUGGACUAAUUUGAAUGUUGAGUUUGUGCAUGAUAAGGGAAUAAUGUAUUGAAUGUAUGUAUGAAUGUUUAUUGCAUUGUAUUUAAAAUAUUAGGUAAGUAUAAUUCUUGUUACAUGAGCUUACUAAGCACAAAGUGCUUACCCUGUUUCUUUUUCCCCUGUUUUGUAGUGUUAAGAGCUCAGAGGUCGGAUUUGGUCGGAGACGUAUCACACUAUCAAUCUCAAGAUCUCGGUAUAUAAAGAAACUUUAUUUUUGGAAAUCAAUGGCAUGUAUAAGCUAGUAAAGUAGAUGUUAUAUGAAAUGAAUGUAUGGUUAGCCAUUGGUAUGGCUAACAAAUUUUGAUUUUGGCAUGUGAUGAGAUUAUCGUAUGAAUACAAUAAAUCUAUCUUGAAAAUAUGUUGAAAUGGA